Molecule: ribosomal RNA, 513 nt
Filed under: uncultured bacterium
Lineage: Bacteria
Description: partial 16S ribosomal RNA
Rfam family: Bacterial small subunit ribosomal RNA
Source: RNAcentral
GAUGAACGCUGGCGGCGUGCCUAAUACAUGCAAGUCGAACGCACAGCGAAAGGUGCUUGCACCUUUCAAGUGAGUGGCGAACGGGUGAGUAACACGUGGACAACCUGCCUCAAGGCUGGGGAUAGCAUUUGGAAACAGAUGCUAAUACCGAAUAAAACUUAGUGUCGCAUGACACAAAGUUAAAAGGCGCUUCGGCGUCACCUAGAGAUGGAUCCGCGGUGCAUUAGUUAGUUGGUGGGGUAAAGGCCUACCAAGACAAUGAUGUAUAGCCGAGUUGGGAGACUGGUCGGCCACAUUGGGACUGAGACACGGCCCAAACUCCUACGGGAGGCUGCAGUAGGGAAUCUUCCACAAUGGGCGAAAGCCUGAUGGAGCAACGCCGCGUGUGUGAUGAAGGCUUUCGGGUCGUAAAGCACUGUUGUAUGGGAAGAACAGCUAGAAUAGGAAAUGAUUUUAGUUUGACGGUACCGUACCAGAAAGGGACGGCUAAAUACGUGCCAGCCGCCGCAGUAA